UGGGGAAUUUUGCGCAAUGGGCGAAAGCCUGACGCAGCAAUACCGUGUGUGGGAUGACGCCUCGUGGGGUGUAAACCACUGUCAGAAUGGAAGAAUUAUGACUGUACAUUCAGAGGAAGCACCGGCUAAUUCCGUGCCAGCAGCCGCGGUAAUACGGAAGGUGCAAGCGUUGUCCGGAUUUAUUGGGCGUAAAGAGUUUGUAGGCGGUUUUGUAAGUCUGAAGUGAAAUAAUGGAGCUCAACUCCAUACACGCUUUUGAAACUACAGAACUAGAGAAUGUUAGGGGUGAGUGGAAUUUCCAGUGUAGCGGUGAAAUGCGUAGAUAUUGGAAAGAACACCGGAGGCGAAGGCGGCUCACUGGGACAUUUCUGACGCUGAGAAACGAAAGCUAGGGGAGCGA
RNAcentral lists this ribosomal RNA (400 nucleotides) under uncultured bacterium. Its description in RNAcentral is "bacterial SSU rRNA". It matches the Rfam family "Bacterial small subunit ribosomal RNA", at positions 355 to 771 of the family's 1533-position model. The record is from RNAcentral.